AUUUAUUUUUGGUGAUCGCUAGGGAUAAGGUAAGCUUUCAAGUUUUAUUAGUUUUAUAUAUCUAAUUUAGUUGCAUAGAACCUCUUGUUUGAAAUUGGUUAUACAUAUUCAUCUCAAAUUAAUUUAAGGGCAACACCCAUAACAAGAUAAAGUGGAGAUUUCAUCACCCUCUCUUGGCCCAAAAACAAUCAACCAGCAUCCUACAUUAACCCUAGCCUAACUAA
Molecule: long non-coding RNA, 224 nt
Filed under: Elaeis guineensis (African oil palm)
Lineage: Eukaryota; Viridiplantae; Streptophyta; Magnoliopsida; Arecales; Arecaceae
Description: long non-coding RNA (EGUI_LNC005666)
Source: RNAcentral